Long non-coding RNA from Carassius carassius (crucian carp), 1751 nucleotides. RefSeq lists it as uncharacterized. NCBI's taxonomy places the organism in Eukaryota, Metazoa, Chordata, Actinopteri, Cypriniformes, Cyprinidae. The transcript is spliced from 3 exons. The record is from RefSeq and is a predicted model, not a curated record.
CAGUGAACAUGCAUGUCAUGGACAGGGGCUGCUUUGGGCCACUGCACAUCUCAGGAGACUUCAUUAAUUAUUCAACCCUUUGACUCCCAGAGAGACAAGCCCGUACUCUGUAUGUGGCCGGUAACCCCAGAAAAAGACCAUUAGGCAGGCCUACAGGUUACCGGAAUAUAUGCAGAAUAGAGAUGAUGCGUUGCUAGGAAGAUUCGGAGCAUUUAAUUACAAGAACAUCGAAAGCACUGACGCUAAUUUUGGAGGGAAGGCUGAAAGAAGCGUGCAUUGUAGGACUGUGUGUGCAGAUGCAACCAGAUGUGCCUCUGGGGAGGAACAGGCGGUCAGCUCAUGUUGAUUUUAUAAGGGUUUCUGCACACGUUGGCACCAGGACUGAAUUUACUGAGGCAGAAAGAGUCUCAAGUCUCUCUCGUUCCAGGCUGAGAAUCAAUGCCACAUUGAUUUUCCUAUCAAUGGACAUUAUCAUAGAUCAGGCAUCUGCUAGCACUGGCCUCAAUCCACGCGCCGCCUGUUGCCACGGGGACAGAGAGAUUUCAUCACUCCUCGCUCUCUGACAGACAGACAGACACAGAGAGAGAUGGCUAAAAAGCAAGGAUGGCAGGGAAAUGCAUGCACACACGCAGGGUAGAGGAUCAAUACCUGAAGUGCAGAGGAUAUUGAGUCAGAGGGGAUGUUGGAUUUGACUACCGGAGGCAAAAAAAAGUGCAGCUUUUGUCACCAAGCAAGCAGGUUUCAGAGAUCUCCUGGAGUUUGCACAUAAAAUGCACCAAAACCAUGAACAGGUUUCCCUGUUUAUGUGACGGUUCCAUGGCAGAAAAAUAUCUGGCAACAUAAUAUGAUUAGCUAAAAAAACACAUGUACAAACUCACUCUAAGAGCUUUUGCAUAUAUUCAUGAACAUACAUAAUUAUCGAAUACCAACAUCUGAGAGAUAUAAGCUGUAGAUUGAUCCUUUGCGAAGACACUGACAACACAUUCAUAGGAAAAAGUCAAAUACAAAAAGCAGCUCAUAUCUGCAAAAAGCCGCUUGAUGUAGGUGUAGGUGUUGAAGCAAAUAUGGUUAGAGAAGAUAAUUUCCUCAUAUUUGUGUAUGUGAAUGUUUGAUUUCGUCUAUCCCCAGUGGAAGCUGUGAAGCCUGAGGCCUAAUGACCAUUUCAGAGCUCUCUCGCUUAAACAUGACAUCCACUUUCCUCUGUUUCACACCUCGUGCUUGAAUUUGUGCAGUAUGACUCAUGGACAUACAAGUGACACUUUGCGGAUUGUGUGGACUGGGUUCAAGAAAACAGACAGAAGCUCUGGACACUGGAGGCUGUGUAGUUAACCCAUGGAGGGAAUGCUACAGGAUUAGUCCAGUGAAGGAGGAGGGGAAGCAGGGGAACCUUUCCACCACUGCUGCACCACUACACAAAAUACAUGUGGUGCAUGCUCAAACAUUUGCUUCAUACCUAAAAAUAAGUAUUUGUUUUAAAUAGAGUGCUGCAGUGAUGAUGUAUUUUUGAAGCAUCACCCUGAUUCCCUCAACAGAAAACCAACAGAAUUUUUCAUGAGCUUUCGAUUAUUGCAGAAAAUAAGGUCUGUGACUAAAAAAGUUUUAUAAAUUACGCAAUUUGUUCACGAUUGUUUUUUUAAGCCUAAAUACAAUCACCAGAAGUAAAGAAGCUAAAAGUAGGCAUCACCAAUUUAGAUGAUGAUUUAGACAACUCUUUAUUUAAAAUACGCUUUCCCUUAAAGUUUGAGUUAAGA